GAUGAAUGCUGGCGGCGUGCCUAACACAUGCAAGUCGAGCGGCAGCGAGGGGUGCUUGCACCCUGUCGGCGAGCGGCGAACGGCUGAGUAACGCGUAGGAAUUUGCCCCAAAGUGAGGAAUAACUGCCCGAAAGGGUAGCUAAUGCCGCAUAUGGUCUUCGGAUUAAAGGAUUUAUCCGCUUUGGGAGAAGCCUGCGUUGGAUUAGGUUGUUGGUAGGGUAAUGGCCUACCAAGCCGACGAUCCAUAGCUGGUCUGAGAGGAUGAUCAGCCAGACUGGAACUGAGACACGGUCCAGACUCCUACGGGAGGCAGCAGUGAGGAAUCUUCCACAAUGGGCGUAAGCCUGAUGGAGCAACGCCGCGUGAAGGAUGAAGGCCUUCGGGUUGUAAACUUCUUUUAUGAGUGAAGAAUAUGACGGUAACUCGUGAAUAAGCACCGGCUAACUACGUG
RNAcentral lists this ribosomal RNA (451 nucleotides) under uncultured bacterium. RNAcentral describes it as "partial 16S ribosomal RNA". It matches the Rfam family "Bacterial small subunit ribosomal RNA", at positions 28 to 507 of the family's 1533-position model. The record is from RNAcentral.